RNAcentral lists this unclassified non-coding RNA (376 nucleotides) under uncultured Actinomycetes bacterium. RNAcentral's name for it is "uncultured actinobacterium contains 16S-23S intergenic spacer region". The record is from RNAcentral. Lineage: Bacteria; Bacillati; Actinomycetota; Actinomycetes.
UCCGAGUUGACCCCGGCAGUCUCCUGCGAGUCCCCGCCAUUACGCGCUGGCAACACAGGACAAGGGUUGCGCUCGUUGCGGGACUUAACCCAACACCUCACGGCACGAGCUGACGACAACCAUGCACCACCUGUGCACGGCCCCGAAGGACACCAUAUCUCUAUGGCUUUUCCGUGCAUUUCAAGCCUUGGUAAGGUUCUUCGCGUUGCUUCGAAUUAAGCCACAUGCUCCGCCGCUUGUGCGGGCCCCCGUCAAUUCUUUUGAGUUUUAGCCUUGCGGCCGUACUCCCCAGGCGGAACACUUAACGCGUUGGCUGCGGCACAGGAGGAUUCGACUCCCCCCACACCUAGUGUUCAUCGUUUACGGCUAGGACUAC